UGAAACUUCUAAAUGGCUGAGCUGG
This 25-nucleotide non-coding RNA is filed under the name Rattus norvegicus (Norway rat). Lineage: Eukaryota; Metazoa; Chordata; Mammalia; Rodentia; Muridae. The record is from RNAcentral.